Molecule: ribosomal RNA, 432 nt
Filed under: uncultured Brevundimonas sp.
Lineage: Bacteria; Pseudomonadati; Pseudomonadota; Alphaproteobacteria; Caulobacterales; Caulobacteraceae
Description: bacterial SSU rRNA
Rfam family: Bacterial small subunit ribosomal RNA
Source: RNAcentral
AGCGAACGCUGGCGGCAGGCCUAACACAUGCAAGUCGAACGAACUCUUCGGAGUUAGUGGCGGACGGGUGAGUAACACGUGGGAACGUGCCUUUAGGUUCGGAAUAACUCAGGGAAACUUGUGCUAAUACCGAAUGUGCCCUUCGGGGGAAAGAUUUAUCGCCUUUAGAGCGGCCCGCGUCUGAUUAGCUAGUUGGUGAGGUAAAGGCUCACCAAGGCUACGAUCAGUAGCUGGUCUGAGAGGAUGACCAGCCACAUUGGGACUGAGAAAGGGCCCAAACUCCUACGGGAGGCAGCAGUGGGGAAUCUUGCGCAAUGGGCGAAAGCCUGACGCAGCCAUGCCGCGUGGAUGAUGAAGGUCUUAGGAUUGUGAAAUCCUUUCACCGGUGAAGAUAAUGACUGUAGCCGGAGAAGAAGCCCCGGCUAACUUCGU